Molecule: ribosomal RNA, 274 nt
Filed under: uncultured bacterium
Lineage: Bacteria
Description: partial 16S ribosomal RNA
Rfam family: Bacterial small subunit ribosomal RNA
Source: RNAcentral
AUACGGAGGGUCCGAGCGUUAAUCGGAAUUACUGGGCGUAAAGCGCGCGUAGGCGGCUAUAUACGUCAGAUGUGAAAUCCCUGGGCUCAACCUAGGAACUGCAUUUGAAACUGUAUGGCUAGAGUAUGGUAGAGGUGAGUGGAAUUUCAGGUGUAGCGGUGAAAUGCGUAGAGAUCUGAAGGAACAUCAGUGGCGAAGGCGACUCACUGGGCCAUUACUGACGCUGAGGUGCGAAAGCGUGGGUAGCAAACAGGAUUAGAAACCCUAGUAGUCC